GGAGGGACCGUCUCUAAAGUUACAUACGACAUUGUUAAACACGAUUCUAACUUCAAUAGCAUUUGAAGGGAAUGACUUACAGUCACAAGACCAACUGUAAAGUGUUCAUCUAGGUUUCAGGGUCACAGAAGAGCCUACCCCAGGGAGCAUCAGGCACAAGGUGGGGUACACCCUGGACAGGGUGCCAGUCCAUCCAGGGCACAAUCACAUACAUACACUACAGACAUUUUAGAUACGCCAAUCAACCUACCAAGCAUAUCUUUGGACUGGGGGAGGAAACCGGAGUACCCAGAGGAAACCCCCGCAGCACAGGGAGAACAUGCAAACUCCACGCGCGCACACACAGCCACGGGAAUCAAACCCCAACCCUGGCAGUGUGAGGCGAGCGUACUAACCACUAAGCCACUGUGCACCCUGACUGCAAGUCCCUUAAUUUCCACAUUUCUGCGAAUAUCGAACGUCCAAUGUCAAACCAACUUUAUUCCAGCGGCAUCCCACUAGAACUUGUAGCGGGGCUGUGGGGAUUUGUGUUCAUUAAGCCACAGGAAUAUUAGUAACGUUGGGCGAGGAGGUCUGGGGUUGAGUUGGUUUUCCAGUUCAUCCCAAAGGUGUUCAGUGGCGUUGAGGUCAGGGCUCGGUGCAGGAUACUCAAAUUCUUCCACUCCAACCUUGGAAAAAUUUGUCUUCGUGGAGCUCACUUUGUGCAUUGUCAUGUCAUGCUCAAAGAGGUUUUAAAUCACCCUUAAGGUGACUUAUACUUGCAGUAAGCUAUGCAUACACAUACGCAAAAUGUAUGUAUGCUGUGGUCAUUUGGCUCGUCACUUGUGCAUGUCCUCAGAAAUGAACACUAGGCUUCCACAUGGUGCAACAGUGGAAGCAGGGCAGCAUGUGAUACUGAUACUUUUUUUGAAGGUUUUAAAGAGAAGCGGAGCUUGUGAGUGUGUGAAUUCUGACCUUCUUAUAGCUUUUAUCACAGGAGAAACACCACCACAGCUCUGUUAAUGACUCUGUUCAUUUGUAAAAUAUCCAGCUGAACACUGUAAUUCCAUACUUGGAUAAAAUCUAUUCACAUACCAACUGUACCAACAUGAUACUGUAGAUCAGGCUGGUUCGAACUCUGGCCCUAGAGGUCCACUGUCCAGUUUACCUCCAACCUCAAACUGAAUUUUACAGCAGAGGACUUAUUUCUGUGAAAAUCUGGUUCCCCACCAAAAAUUACACUUUCCUCAACCCCAUUUAAAAAAAAAAAAAAAAAAAGUCUCAAAUCUGAAAUGUUCUGCAUGCACAGUAUACUUACCUAAUGUAGGUACCCCCUAAAAAAAAAUUAAGACAGAGUCGAAUCUCGAUAGUCAGGCCCAUCCUGUGUCGAGAUAUUGAGGUUUCCUUAAACAGCUCUAUAACCAAAAUUUGUUGUGUGCCAUGACAAACAUGGCCGUCAUAGUUAAACCAAGUAAAAUAUAAAUAAAUAAAAACAGGUGAUUUUGUAUGCCAAUACAUAGAAGUAAUCACUCAAAAAAUAAAUAAACAGUGAAGCAACCAACUUUGCAAUUAUUGGACCACUUGAGAUGGAAUGACCCUAGCAUAAAGACUAAUAUUGUAGAAUCUUUAAAUUGCUUUAUUUCUUUUAUUAUACAAUCACAGAAGAGAACACUUCAUAUAUAAAUAUUUUUUCUUUAUUACUUGAAAUUGGAUGAUAUUAUGCAUUUACCAUGAAUAAACAGUCUUAACUUGAUACAUUCUACUUACAAAAUCAACCUUCAGUACAAGAGUAACUUCCUACUCUGUUACGUUAGUCUGUGUGUUAUGUUUGAUGCAUUCUGCUGCAUUUUGUCCGCAGGAUGUAAAGUGUUGUAAAUAAGGCCUCAGGCACACUCCUUCAGUGGCAUAUUGCUCUGGUCAUUCAGGACCACUUCCUCUUUCUUGGGGGAGUCUUUGGAUUUUCUCAACUUGAAACCUCUGAAGUAAUGAAAACAAUAAAGAAUAAAAUUGUAUUAAAAAUAGUCUAUAUUUAAAAAACAAAAGUAUAGGUUUGAUAUAAUUUGUUAUACCUCUUCAUGUCUGAGCAUAUAUAUAAAUUGAAAAAUCAUUUCACUUUUUUAGAGCCUCUAGUUUAACUAUAUUUUGUGCUACUAAAACAAAAAUCAAUAAUCUGUCAAUUUAUGUAAAAUUGUGUACGUUUUGGUUUUUCCAUGUCAUAUUAAAAAAAGGAUUACUCUUAGCAGUCA
Long non-coding RNA from Ictalurus furcatus (blue catfish), 2225 nucleotides. RefSeq lists it as uncharacterized. Lineage: Eukaryota; Metazoa; Chordata; Actinopteri; Siluriformes; Ictaluridae. The record is from RefSeq and is a predicted model, not a curated record. The transcript has 2 exons.